AACGAACGCUGGCGGCAUGCCUAACACAUGCAAGUCGAACGAGACCUUCGGGUCUAGUGGCGCACGGGUGCGUAACGCGUGGGAACCUGCCCUUAGGUUCGGAAUAACUCCCCGAAAGGGGUGCUAAUACCGGAUAAUGUCUUCGGACCAAAGAUUUAUCGCCUUUGGAUGGGCCCGCGUUGGAUUAGCUAGUUGGUAGGGUAAAAGCCGACCAAGGCGACGAUCCAUAGCUGGUCUGAGAGGAUGAUCAGCCACACUGGGACUGAGACACGGCCCAGACUCCUACGGGAGGCAGCAGUGGGGAAUAUUGGACGAUGGGCGAAAGCCUGAUCCAGCAAUGCCGCGUGAGUGAUGAAGGCCUUAGGGUUGUAAAGCUCUUUUACCCGGGAUGAUAAUGACAGUACCGGGAGAAUAAGCUCCGGCUAACUCCGUG
Molecule: ribosomal RNA, 433 nt
Filed under: uncultured bacterium
Lineage: Bacteria
Description: partial 16S ribosomal RNA
Rfam family: Bacterial small subunit ribosomal RNA
Source: RNAcentral